Long non-coding RNA from Silurus meridionalis, 1639 nucleotides. RefSeq lists it as uncharacterized. The record is from RefSeq and is a predicted model, not a curated record. Lineage: Eukaryota; Metazoa; Chordata; Actinopteri; Siluriformes; Siluridae. The transcript is spliced from 2 exons.
GAAAAAUGAAGGUAUCUCAGUGUGUAUCAAAUGGACAAUCCAAGCAUUACAAUACAAUUUAAUUCCUAAUGCAGCCCCCAAUCAUUUCGCCAAUUCUGGUGUAUUUUUAAUAUAAUCUUUGUACUUUGGUGUUUGAAAAUCUUCCAACUUCCAAUCCACACCAUUCCAAGUCUGGUGCUGCCCCUUUCCUGCACAUAGUAUUGUUUUUUACUUUUCCUACUCCCAUUAAACCAAAUUUAAUAAUUCAGCUAUUUUGAGCAGGGAGUUAUGAGGAAAAAUGUGCAGGGACAGGGGGUACUCCAGGACCAGGGUUGGAAAUCUGUGGACUGGUGUGUUUAAAUUAAAGGCACUCCAGAGAUCAUGCAUCAGUUUGAAAUGGACAAGGGUUUAUAUAUUUUUAUAUAUACAAACCCUUCAACAAACAUGCAGAGGAAGACAUUGGUUAAAUAGUAUUAGAAUACUUAUGUCUGUCUUUCAGCUUGAUGCUUAUAUCCUAUUUAUAGGAUCAGUAAGGCUUGGAUUAAUGUUUAACUUUAAUGCUAGCAUUUUUACAGUUUUUCAGAAAUAUUAUGACUGGGAUUCAGGUUCCCAGCCUUGCUUUUACAUUUGGCUUAUCAAUCUUGAGGAGAGGUUAUGCAGGAGGGUUCCUGAACCAUGCUAAGCUGGGCAUUUGUAUGAAGAAUAAGAAGACACUGCAUAGCUUUUCGAAAUUGAAGGCUAAAUUUGCGGAAAGUGCAUUUAAAUGUCUUUGCACUGUUAAAUUGAUGGAAAGGUUGCAUGGUCAUAAUGAAGCCUGAAACAUCAUCAAAUUGCAUUUGAAAAUUGAAUUCAGAUAUCAACCGAAUACCUUUCCGAGAGCUUUAGAGAACUUUGCUUGCUAUGUAAACUGCAAUGCUAGUUUCAGUGUUUUUAGCACUGUGUAGAACUCUAUAACUUGCACCAUCUCACACUGGAAAUUCACAAAUAAUACAAUGACUUUUUCUUACACCCUCCAGCAUCCACUUGUUUCAACAAAUUAUAUCAGACUGUAUUUAUAAUGUGGGAUGAUGAAAUUGUGGGCUCAUGUUUUUAUAAGUGCCUUGAUGUGGUCACGUCCACUGGUGUGCUAACUACAUCAGUCCCUGUGUCAUUCUGACCAAAACAGCUGUGCGAGGUCUCGACAAUGACACACCCUGGCAAAUUGUUUUUCAACAUGUGAAAAGUGAGGUGUUCCAGAGUGCAAGUUGUUCAUAGAGUUCUAAAGUUGCUUAUCCUGACCCUCUGACACACCAUGUGCAUUUUAUACACCACAAAUCCGAAGAGUUAGCCUUCAUCCUGUCACCCUAGAGUUCAGAUUCUGAGCUGAAUUGAACACACCUGCUUAAUUAAUCUAGUUAAUGAACACAUUUCUUUAGUUCAUGGCACUUCAGAAAGCCAGUAGAAACAUCUCCAGAUGGAAAAUGUGGAGCAUCUUUUUAUCAAGCAUUUCUUUUAAUUAAAAAUGGAAGUUGCAGCUCAGUGCUUAGGGGUCAAAUCUCCGCACAACUGCUGGCCCCUUGAGCAAAGCUCUUCACGAUCAACCACUCGGCUGUAUAAUUAAUACACUUGUGAGUUGCUCUGGAUUAAAAAUAUCUGCCAUAAAUAUAACUGGUAUUAGGCA